RNAcentral lists this transfer-messenger RNA (353 nucleotides) under Candidatus Fermentibacteraceae. RNAcentral describes it as "Aegiribacteria sp002030045 Standard tmRNA". It matches the Rfam family "transfer-messenger RNA". Rfam says of the family: Bacterial tmRNA, also known as 10Sa RNA or SsrA, is named for its dual tRNA and mRNA-like properties. Its role is to liberate the mRNA from a stalled ribosome. Lineage: Bacteria; Pseudomonadati; Candidatus Fermentibacterota; Candidatus Fermentibacteria; Candidatus Fermentibacterales. The record is from RNAcentral.
GGGGGCGACAGGUAUCGACGGGCUCAGAAGUGGUCUGGCGGUUGCAUGCCGAGGUGUCCGCGACCUCGUUAAUCCUGCGGAUAGAACACAACUGCCGCGUAAAUAACGGCACGCCGUUCCCCAACAGGAACGGCCGUCCGCCCCGGGAAUCGCCUUCCUACCGGGGGUCGGGCGCAAGACGGAGGGCUGGCUGCGGAGCCCCGCUCCAGGGCAAAAGCGGCGAGAUUUAAGUGGGGCUGGCGCCGAGGAGGCCGACCGGAACCAAAUCGGGGCGAGAUUUAAUCCGGCCUAAGCAUGUAGAGCUGUCAGGUCCCUGUUCCCGGACGCGGGUUCGAAUCCCGCCGCCUCCACCA